RNAcentral lists this ribosomal RNA (253 nucleotides) under uncultured bacterium. RNAcentral describes it as "partial 16S ribosomal RNA". It matches the Rfam family "Bacterial small subunit ribosomal RNA", at positions 524 to 776 of the family's 1533-position model. The record is from RNAcentral.
UACGGAGGGUGCGAGCGUUAAUCGGAAUCACUGGGCGUAAAGCGCGCGUAGGCGGCUCUUCAAGUCAGGGGUGAAAUCCCACGGCCCAACCGUGGAACUGCCUUUGAAACUGUAGAGCUUGAGUAUCGGAGAGGGUGGCGGAAUUCCAGGUGUAGGAGUGAAAUCCGUAGAUAUCUGGAGGAACACCGGUGGCGAAGGCGGCCACCUGGACGACAACUGACGCUGAGGUGCGAAAGCGUGGGUAGCAAACAGG